AUUGAACGCUGGCGGCAUGCCUUACACAUGCAAGUCGAACGGCAGCACGGGAGCAAUCCUGGUGGCGAGUGGCGAACGGGUGAGUAAAGUAUCGGAACGUGCCCAGUCGUGGGGGAUAACGUAGCGAAAGUUACGCUAAUACCGCAUACGAUCUAUGGAUGAAAGCGGGGGAUCGCAAGACCCCGCGCGAUUGGAGCGGGCGAUAUCGGAUUAGGUAGUUGGUGGGGUAAAGGCUAACCAAGCCGACGAUCUGUAGCUGGUCUGAGAGGACGACCAGCCACACUGGGACUGAGACACGGCCCAGACUCCGACGGGAGGCAGUAGUGGGGAAUUUUGGACAAUGGGCGAAAGCCUGAUCCAGCCAUGCCUCGGGCAGGAUGAAGGCCUUCGGGUUGUAAACUGCUUUUGUACGGAACGAAAAGGUUUGGCCUAAUAAGCUGAGCUCAUGACGGUACCGUAAGAAUAAGCACCGGCUAACUACGUGCCAGCCGCCGCCGUAA
Molecule: ribosomal RNA, 500 nt
Filed under: uncultured bacterium
Lineage: Bacteria
Description: partial 16S ribosomal RNA
Rfam family: Bacterial small subunit ribosomal RNA
Source: RNAcentral